ACAUACGACCAUACCUACUGGAAAACUCGGGAUCCCGUCCGCUCUCCCAUAGAUAAGCCAGUGAGGGCCGGAUUAGUAGUUGGGUCGGUGACGACCAGCGAAUACCUGGUGUUGUAUGUC
This 120-nucleotide ribosomal RNA is filed under the name Colletotrichum orbiculare MAFF 240422. The record is from RNAcentral. Lineage: Eukaryota; Fungi; Ascomycota; Sordariomycetes; Glomerellales; Glomerellaceae.